Molecule: ribosomal RNA, 253 nt
Filed under: uncultured bacterium
Lineage: Bacteria
Description: partial 16S ribosomal RNA
Rfam family: Bacterial small subunit ribosomal RNA
Source: RNAcentral
GACGGGGGGUCCGAGCGUUGUUCGGAAUCAUUGGGCGUAAAGCGUGUGCAGGUGGCUUUGUAAGUCAGAUGUGAAAGCCCCGGGCUCAACUCGGGAAGUGCAUUUGAAACUACAAAACUUGAAUAUGGAAGAGGGUCGUGGAAUUCCUGGUGUAGUGGUGAAAUACGUAGAUAUCAGGAGGAACACCGGUGGCGAAGGCGGCGACCUGGUCCAAUAUUGACACUCAUACACGAAAGCGUGGGGAUCAAACAGG